GAUGAACGCUGGCGGCGUGCCUAAUACAUGCAAGUCGAGCGAACAGACGAGGAGCUUGCUCCUCUGACGUUAGCGGCGGACGGGUGAGUAACACGUGGAUAACCUACCUAUAAGACUGGGAUAACUUCGGGAAACCGGAGCUAAUACCGGAUAAUAUAUUGAACCGCAUGGUUCAAUAGUGAAAGACGGUUUUGCUGUCACUUAUAGAUGGAUCCGCGCCGCAUUAGCUAGUUGGUAAGGUAACGGCUUACCAAGGCAACGAUGCGUAGCCGACCUGAGAGGGUGAUCUGCCACACUGGAACUGAGACACGGUCCAGACUCCUACGGGAGGCAGCAGUAGGGAAUCUUCCGCAAUGGGCGAAAGCCUGACGGAGCAACGCCGCGUGAGUGAUGAAGGUCUUCGGAUCGUAAAACUCUGUUAUUAGGGAAGAACAAAUGUGUAAGUAACUAUGCACGUCUUGACGGUACCUAAUCAGAAAGCCACGGCUAACCACGUG
Molecule: ribosomal RNA, 497 nt
Filed under: uncultured bacterium
Lineage: Bacteria
Description: partial 16S ribosomal RNA
Rfam family: Bacterial small subunit ribosomal RNA
Source: RNAcentral